Molecule: ribosomal RNA, 561 nt
Filed under: Microtetraspora sp. 387D03
Lineage: Bacteria; Bacillati; Actinomycetota; Actinomycetes; Streptosporangiales; Streptosporangiaceae
Also listed under: 1 other name
Description: bacterial SSU rRNA
Rfam family: Bacterial small subunit ribosomal RNA
Source: RNAcentral
GAGCGGCGAACGGGUGAGUAACACGUGAGUAACCUGCCCCUGACUCUGGGAUAAGCCUGGGAAACUGGGUCUAAUACCGGAUAUGACCAUUUCGGGCAUCCGAUGGUGGUGGAAAGUUUUUUCGGUUGGGGAUGGACUCGCGGCCUAUCAGCUUGUUGGUGGGGUAGUGGCCUACCAAGGCGACGACGGGUAGCCGGCCUGAGAGGGCGACCGGCCACACUGGGACUGAGACACGGCCCAGACUCCUACGGGAGGCAGCAGUGGGGAAUAUUGCGCAAUGGGCGGAAGCCUGACGCAGCGACGCCGCGUGGGGGAUGACGGCCUUCGGGUUGUAAACCUCUUUCAGCAGGGACGAAGUUGACGUGUACCUGUAGAAGAAGCGCCGGCUAACUACGUGCCAGCAGCCGCGGUAAUACGUAGGGCGCAAGCGUUGUCCGGAAUUAUUGGGCGUAAAGAGCUCGUAGGUGGCUUGUCGCGUCUGCCGUGAAAGCUUAGGGCUUAACCCUANGUCUGCGGUGGAUACGGGCAGGCUAGAGGCUGGUAGGGGCAAGCGGAAUUCCU